CUUUUUAUUCACAGUCAAUAAACCUAAUUUAAGUAACAUUAUACCUAAUUUUGAGUUUGAAAAAAAGCGGAAAUUAUGAAUUCUUUUGAAUAAUAGUUGAAUCUGA
Molecule: long non-coding RNA, 106 nt
Organism: Etheostoma spectabile (orangethroat darter)
Lineage: Eukaryota; Metazoa; Chordata; Actinopteri; Perciformes; Percidae
Exons: 3
Source: RefSeq, a predicted model, not a curated record